This 187-nucleotide ribosomal RNA is filed under the name uncultured bacterium. RNAcentral describes it as "partial 16S ribosomal RNA". It matches the Rfam family "Bacterial small subunit ribosomal RNA", at positions 1315 to 1500 of the family's 1533-position model. The record is from RNAcentral.
ACCACACGAAGCUGGAAUCGCUAGUAAUCGCGGAUCAGAAUGCCGCGGUGAAUACGUUCCCGGGUCUUGUACACACCGCCCGUCACACCAUGGGAGUCAGCAACGCCCGAAGUCAGUGACCCAACCUUUAAGGAGGGAGCUGCCGAAGGCGGGGCAGGUGACUGGGGUGAAGUCGUAACAAGGUAUC